UCGGCGUCGCGGCGUGGCCACCAGCCCCCGGAUCCGAGUUGGGAGAGGUGCCAAAGUGAGGGGGCCUUUCCUCUUUAGAAGAAAGAAGACCUUCAAGUUUGUCUUUUAUUGAAAUGGUUAUUCUAUGGCUAAUUCUGUUACUAAAUAAACUUCCAUUCCUUGAUUAAUUGCUAAUUUUGCCUCUCUCAUUGCAACAGUUUCCUGAGGUAGAAACUCUCUUGCCAGGUCAAGAGUCUUUCUGUAGACAGCAUCCGCCUCCUGGUU
Molecule: long non-coding RNA, 264 nt
Filed under: Ictidomys tridecemlineatus (thirteen-lined ground squirrel)
Lineage: Eukaryota; Metazoa; Chordata; Mammalia; Rodentia; Sciuridae
Description: lncRNA (ENSSTOG00000034634.1)
Source: RNAcentral